GUUUACCUACGGGGGGCAGCAGUGGGGAAUAUUGCACAAUGGGGGAAACCCUGAUGCAGCAACGCCGCGUGAGUGAAGAAGGUUUUCGGAUUGUAAAGCUCUGUUAGCAGGGAAGAGGAAGGACGGUACCUGCAGAGGAAGCCACGGCUAACUACGUGCCAGCAGCCGCGGUAAUACGUAGGUGGCAAGCGUUGUUCGGAAUAACUGGGCGUAAAGGAUGCGUAGGCGGUUAAACAAGGUAUAUGUUAAAUAUAUAGGCUUAACCUGGAGAAAGAAUAUAAAACUGGUUAACUAGA
RNAcentral lists this ribosomal RNA (296 nucleotides) under uncultured bacterium. Its description in RNAcentral is "partial 16S ribosomal RNA". It matches the Rfam family "Bacterial small subunit ribosomal RNA", at positions 333 to 645 of the family's 1533-position model. The record is from RNAcentral.